AGAGUUUGAUCAUGGCUCAGGAUGAACGCUGGCGGCGUGCUUAACACAUGCAAGUCGAACGAGAACCAUUGGAUCGAGGAUUCGUCCAAGUGAAGGUGGGGAAAGUGGCGGACGGGUGAGUAACGCGUGAGCAAUCUGCCUUGGAGUGGGGAAUAACGGCUGGAAACAGCCGCUAAUACCGCAUGAUACAGCUGGGAGGCAUCUCCCUGGCUGUCAAAGAUUUAUCGCUCUGAGAUGAGCUCGCGUCUGAUUAGCUGGUUGGCGGGGUAACGGCCCACCAAGGCGACGAUCAGUAGCCGGACUGAGAGGUUGGCCGGCCACAUUGGGACUGAGACACGGCCCAGACUCCUACGGGAGGCAGCAGUGGGGAAUAUUGGGCAAUGGGCGCAAGCCUGACCCAGCAACGCCGCGUGAAGGAAGAAGGCUUUCGGGUUGUAAACUUCUUUUCUUGGGGACGAAGAAAGUGACGGUACCCAAGGAAUAAGCCACGGCUAACUACGUGCCAGCAGCCGCGGUAAUACGUAGGUGGCAAGCGUUAUCCGGAUUUAUUGGGUGUAAAGGGCGUGUAGGCGGGAAUGCAAGUCAGAUGUGAAAACUAUGGGCUCAACCCAUAGCCUGCAUUUGAAACUGUAUUU
Molecule: ribosomal RNA, 635 nt
Filed under: uncultured bacterium
Lineage: Bacteria
Description: bacterial SSU rRNA
Rfam family: Bacterial small subunit ribosomal RNA
Source: RNAcentral